Molecule: long non-coding RNA, 201 nt
Filed under: Sorghum bicolor (sorghum)
Lineage: Eukaryota; Viridiplantae; Streptophyta; Magnoliopsida; Poales; Poaceae
Description: long non-coding RNA (SBIC_LNC017792)
Source: RNAcentral
CAUGGAUUAUCUCUCGAGCUAUGUCUUUCUUGUCCAAAUUGUUAAACUUCAUGUGUCUCCUUCUUUAUCUCCAUUCUGAAUUUAUUUUAGGACUUCUCAAAUAGAUAUUAAAAAUUUUCCUGUAGGGGUUAGUACAACAAAAUAUACUAGUGUCUACACAAGCAGUGUUUAGUUCAAUAACCAAAUUAGACUCCAUGUCUA